UACGUAGGUGGCAAGCGUUGUCCGGAUUUACUGGGCGUAAAGAGCGCGCAGGCGGUCGAGUAAGUCGAAUGUGAAAGCCCCCGGCUCAACUGGGGAGGGUCACGCGAUACUGAUCGACUCGAAGGCAGGAGAGGGUAGUGGAAUUCCCGGUGUAGUGGUGAAAUGCGUAGAUAUCGGGAGGAACACCAGUGGCGAAGGCGACUACCUGGCCUGUUCUUGACGCUGAGGCGCGAAAGCUAGGGGAGCAAACGGG
This 253-nucleotide ribosomal RNA is filed under the name uncultured bacterium. RNAcentral's name for it is "partial 16S ribosomal RNA". It matches the Rfam family "Bacterial small subunit ribosomal RNA", at positions 524 to 776 of the family's 1533-position model. The record is from RNAcentral.